UACGUAGGGUGCGAGCGUUAAUCGGAAUUACUGGGCGUAAAGCGUGCGCAGGCGGCUUUGCAAGACAGAUGUGAAAUCCCCGGGCUCAACCUGGGAACUGCAUUUGUGACUGCAAGGCUUGAGUGCGGCAGAGGGGGAUGGAAUUCCGCGUGUAGCAGUGAAAUGCGUAGAUAUGCGGAGGAACACCGAUGGCGAAGGCAAUCCCCUGGGCCUGCACUGACGCUCAUGCACGAAAGCGUGGGGAGCAAACAGG
RNAcentral lists this ribosomal RNA (253 nucleotides) under uncultured bacterium. Its description in RNAcentral is "partial 16S ribosomal RNA". It matches the Rfam family "Bacterial small subunit ribosomal RNA", at positions 524 to 776 of the family's 1533-position model. The record is from RNAcentral.